This is a long non-coding RNA of Sinocyclocheilus rhinocerous, 76 nucleotides long. RefSeq lists it as uncharacterized. The transcript has 3 exons. The record is from RefSeq and is a predicted model, not a curated record. Lineage: Eukaryota; Metazoa; Chordata; Actinopteri; Cypriniformes; Cyprinidae.
CCACUUUGAGCUCUGGUACGGAGCGACUGAGUGUCCACUCCUGACUGUUGACAAAGGCAUCUUCAAUUGCAAUUAC